UACGUAGGGUGCAAGCGUUAAUCGGAAUUACUGGGCGUAAAGCGUGCGCAGGCGGUUUUGUAAGUCUGUCGUGAAAGCCCCGGGCUCAACCUGGGAAUUGCGAUGGAGACUGCAAGGCUUGAAUCUGGCAGAGGGGGGUAGAAUUCCACGUGUAGCAGUGAAAUGCGUAGAGAUGAUGGAGGAACACCGAUGGCGAAGGCAGCCCCCUGGGUCAAGAUUGACGCUCAUGCACGAAAGCGUGGGGAGCAAACAGG
RNAcentral lists this ribosomal RNA (254 nucleotides) under uncultured bacterium. Its description in RNAcentral is "partial 16S ribosomal RNA". It matches the Rfam family "Bacterial small subunit ribosomal RNA", at positions 524 to 776 of the family's 1533-position model. The record is from RNAcentral.